RNAcentral lists this ribosomal RNA (1045 nucleotides) under Shigella boydii. Its description in RNAcentral is "bacterial SSU rRNA". It matches the Rfam family "Bacterial small subunit ribosomal RNA", at positions 500 to 1533 of the family's 1533-position model. The record is from RNAcentral. Lineage: Bacteria; Pseudomonadati; Pseudomonadota; Gammaproteobacteria; Enterobacterales; Enterobacteriaceae.
ACUCCGUGCCAGCAGCCGCGGUAAUACGGAGGGUGCAAGCGUUAAUCGGAAUUACUGGGCGUAAAGCGCACGCAGGCGGUUUGUUAAGUCAGAUGUGAAAUCCCCGGGCUCAACCUGGGAACUGCAUCUGAUACUGGCAAGCUUGAGUCUCGUAGAGGGGGGUAGAAUUCCAGGUGUAGCGGUGAAAUGCGUAGAGAUCUGGAGGAAUACCGGUGGCGAAGGCGGCCCCCUGGACGAAGACUGACGCUCAGGUGCGAAAGCGUGGGGAGCAAACAGGAUUAGAUACCCUGGUAGUCCACGCCGUAAACGAUGUCGACUUGGAGGUUGUGCCCUUGAGGCGUGGCUUCCGGAGCUAACGCGUUAAGUCGACCGCCUGGGGAGUACGGCCGCAAGGUUAAAACUCAAAUGAAUUGACGGGGGCCCGCACAAGCGGUGGAGCAUGUGGUUUAAUUCGAUGCAACGCGAAGAACCUUACCUGGUCUUGACAUCCACGGAAGUUUUCAGAGAUGAGAAUGUGCCUUCGGGAACCGUGAGACAGGUGCUGCAUGGCUGUCGUCAGCUCGUGUUGUGAAAUGUUGGGUUAAGUCCCGCAACGAGCGCAACCCUUAUCCUUUGUUGCCAGCGGUCCGGCCGGGAACUCAAAGGAGACUGCCAGUGAUAAACUGGAGGAAGGUGGGGACGACGUCAAGUCAUCAUGGCCCUUACGACCAGGGCUACACACGUGCUACAAUGGCGCAUACAAAGAGAAGCGACCUCGCGAGAGCAAGCGGACCUCAUAAAGUGCGUCGUAGUCCGGAUUGGAGUCUGCAACUCGACUCCAUGAAGUCGGAAUCGCUAGUAAUCGUGGAUCAGAAUGCCACGGUGAAUACGUUCCCGGGCCUUGUACACACCGCCCGUCACACCAUGGGAGUGGGUUGCAAAAGAAGUAGGUAGCUUAACCUUUGGGAGGGCGCUUACCACUUUGUGAUUCAUGACUGGGGUGAAGUCGUAACAAGGUAACCGUAGGGGAACCUGCGGUUGGAUCACCUCCUUACCUUAAAGAAGC